This 301-nucleotide ribosomal RNA is filed under the name uncultured bacterium. RNAcentral's name for it is "partial 16S ribosomal RNA". It matches the Rfam family "Bacterial small subunit ribosomal RNA", at positions 509 to 807 of the family's 1533-position model. The record is from RNAcentral.
CAGUAGCCACGGUAAUACGGAGGGAGCUAGCGUUGUUCGGAAUCACUGGGCGUAAAGCGCACGUAGGCGGCUAUUCAAGUCAGGGGUGAAAGCCCGGGGCUCAACCCCGGAACUGCCUUUGAAACUAGAUAGCUUGAAUCUUGGAGAGGCGAGUGGAAUUCCGAGUGUAGAGGUGAAAUUCGUAGAUAUUCGGAAGAACACCAGUGGCGAAGGCGACUCGCUGGACAAGUAUUGACGCUGAGGUGCGAAAGCGUGGGGAGCAAACAGGAUUAGAUACCCCGGUAGUCCCUGUCUCUUAUAC